This 253-nucleotide ribosomal RNA is filed under the name uncultured bacterium. Its description in RNAcentral is "partial 16S ribosomal RNA". It matches the Rfam family "Bacterial small subunit ribosomal RNA", at positions 524 to 776 of the family's 1533-position model. The record is from RNAcentral.
UACGUAGGGUGCAAGCGUUGUCCGGAAUUAUUGGGCGUAAAGAGCUCGUAGGCGGUUUGUCGCGUCUGCUGUGAAAACGCGAGGCUCAACCUCAGGCCUGCAGUCGAUACGGGCGGACUUGAGUACUGCAGGGGAGACUGGAAUUCCUGGUGUAGCGGUGAAAUGCGCAGAUAUCAGGAGGAACACCGGUGGCGAAGGCGGGUCUCUGGGCAGUAACUGACGCUGAGGAGCGAAAGCGUGGGGAGCAAACAGG